GUGAACGCUAGUGAUAUGCUUAACACAUGCGAGUUCAAAUUUCCAUUUUAAAAUGGAAAUAGCGUACGGGUGAAUAAUGCAUAAGAAUCUACUUUAUAUUUUAGAAAUUAUAAAUCUAAUAAGGUUGUAUUAAAUUAACUUAAAUACAGUCUGAAAAUUAAAAUUGGUAUAAAAUGAGCUUGUGUAGAAUUAGAUAUUUAGUAAGGUAAUGGCUUACUUAGUCUACGAUUCUUAGCUGAUCUUAGCGGAUGAUCAGCCACAUUGGGACUGGAACAUGGCCCAACCUCUCUUUGGAGGCAGCAGUGAGGAAUAUUGGACAAUGAACGAAAGUUUGAUCCAGCAAUAUCACGUGAAUGAUGAAGGUUUUUUUUUAUUGUAAAGUUCUUUCGAUGAGGAGGAUAAUGACGUUACUCAUAAAAGAAGUCCCGACUAACCUCGU
RNAcentral lists this ribosomal RNA (439 nucleotides) under uncultured bacterium. RNAcentral's name for it is "bacterial SSU rRNA". It matches the Rfam family "Bacterial small subunit ribosomal RNA", at positions 29 to 506 of the family's 1533-position model. The record is from RNAcentral.